GGGGAUGUAGCUCAGUUGGUAAAAUGCUUGCCUAGCAUGCAUGAGGCCCUGGGUUCGAUCCCCAGCUUUCCUA
Peromyscus eremicus (cactus mouse) is the source of this 73-nucleotide non-coding RNA. The record is from the annotation of a RefSeq genome assembly. NCBI's taxonomy places the organism in Eukaryota, Metazoa, Chordata, Mammalia, Rodentia, Cricetidae.